RNAcentral lists this ribosomal RNA (253 nucleotides) under uncultured bacterium. RNAcentral describes it as "partial 16S ribosomal RNA". It matches the Rfam family "Bacterial small subunit ribosomal RNA", at positions 524 to 776 of the family's 1533-position model. The record is from RNAcentral.
UACGUAGGGGGCAAGCGUUGUCCGGAAUCAUUGGGCGUAAAGCGCGUGUAGGCGGCCUGGUAAGCCCGUUCUGAAAGUCCGGGGCUCAACCCCGGGAGGCGGAUGGAUACUGUCAGGCUCGAGUACGGAAGAGGCGAGUGGAAUUCUCGGUGUAGCGGUGAAAUGCGCAGAUAUCGGGAGGAACACCAAUGGCGAAGGCAGCUCGCUGGGACGUUACUGACGCUGAGACGCGAAAGCGUGGGGAGCAAACAGG